Molecule: ribosomal RNA, 493 nt
Filed under: uncultured bacterium
Lineage: Bacteria
Description: bacterial SSU rRNA
Rfam family: Bacterial small subunit ribosomal RNA
Source: RNAcentral
GACGAACGCUGGCGGCGUGCCUAACACAUGCAAGUCGAGCGGGGUUGAAGCGAGGGGUAACUCAAGCUUCUACCUAGCGGCGGACGGGUGAGUAACGCGUGGGCAACCUGCCUCAAGGUCUGGGAUAACAGCUCGAAAGGGCUGCUAAUACCGGAUAUGCCUAUGGCCUCGCAUGGGGCUAUGAGCAAAGGGGAAACCUGCCUUGAGAUGGGCCCGCGUCCCAUCAGCUAGUUGGUGAGGUAACAGCUCACCAAGGCGACGACGGGUAGCCGGCCUGAGAGGGUGACCGGCCACACUGGGACUGAGACACGGCCCAGACUCCUACGGGGGGCAGCAGUGGGGGAUCUUGCACAAUGGGCGAAAGCCUGAUGCAGCGACGCCGCGUGAGCGAAGAAGGCCUUCGGGUUGUAAGCUCUGUCUGGAGGGCGAAGGAAGUGACGGUACCUCCGGAGGAAGGCCACGGCUAACUACGUGCCAGCAGCCGCGGUAAACU